Molecule: transfer RNA, 74 nt
Filed under: Loxodonta africana (African savanna elephant)
Lineage: Eukaryota; Metazoa; Chordata; Mammalia; Proboscidea; Elephantidae
Rfam family: tRNA
About the family: Transfer RNA (tRNA) molecules are approximately 80 nucleotides in length. Their secondary structure includes four short double-helical elements and three loops (D, anti-codon, and T loops).
Source: Rfam by way of RNAcentral
CCCUGGGUGGUGCAAACUGUUAUCACGCUCAGCUGCUAACUGAAAGGUUGGUGGUUCAAGUCCACCCAGAGGUA